RNAcentral lists this ribosomal RNA (489 nucleotides) under uncultured bacterium. RNAcentral's name for it is "bacterial SSU rRNA". It matches the Rfam family "Bacterial small subunit ribosomal RNA", at positions 29 to 493 of the family's 1533-position model. The record is from RNAcentral.
AACUAACGCUGGCGGCGUGCCUAACACAUGCAAGUCGUACGAGAAAGUUGGCUUCGGCCGAUGAGUAAAGUGGCGCACGGGUGAGUAAUGCGUGGAUAAUCUGCCCUUUAGUUGGGAAUAACGUACCGAAAGGUGCGCUAAUACCUGAUAAUACUGCAUAACUACUGUUGUGUAGUCAAAGAAGGCCUCUGUUUACAAGCUUUUGCUGAAGGAUGAGUCCGCGUACCAUUAGCUGGUUGGUGGGGUAAUGGCCUACCAAGGCUACGAUGGUUAGCUGGUCUGAGAGGAUGAUCAGCCACACUGGAACUGAGACACGGUCCAGACUCCUACGGGAGGCAGCAGUGAGGAAUCUUGCGCAAUGGGGGAAACCCUGACGCAGCAACGCCGCGUGAGUGAGGAAGGCCUUCGGUCGUAAAGCUCUGUCAGAUGGAAGAAUAGGAUGGGGCUAAGUAUCGCCCACUCCUUCGACGGUACCAUCAGAGGAAGACG